This 76-nucleotide transfer RNA is filed under the name archaeon. RNAcentral describes it as "tRNA-Glu". It matches the Rfam family "tRNA". From Rfam's summary of the family: Transfer RNA (tRNA) molecules are approximately 80 nucleotides in length. Their secondary structure includes four short double-helical elements and three loops (D, anti-codon, and T loops). RNAcentral also lists the same sequence under 2 other names. The record is from RNAcentral.
GCUCCGGUGGUGUAGUCCGGUCAAGCAUACUGCCCUUUCGAGGCAGUGAUCGCGGGUUCAAAUCCCGCCCGGAGCA